This 2077-nucleotide long non-coding RNA is filed under the name Nicotiana tabacum (common tobacco). Its description in RNAcentral is "long non-coding RNA (NTAB_LNC012930)". Lineage: Eukaryota; Viridiplantae; Streptophyta; Magnoliopsida; Solanales; Solanaceae. The record is from RNAcentral.
CUCUAACAGAAAAGAAGUCACACGAAGUGCACAUUUCUUCAUGAUUUAGAAGACUCAGAGAGAAGAGGAAUUUCACAAUAAUUUAUAUACAAUUCCUGGAAUAUCAAAGCGGUAAAAGCAAUCAAUUAGCACAUUAGGCCUAAAUCAUGUAACAAAAUCAGAUAAUGAAUAAAUUCAACUAUAAUAAUUAUUCUAAGCUUGAAUUCUUGAACCCUGAACCAGAGAUUCUAGGUUCGAGUCCCCAGCAGAGUCGCCAGAGCUGUCACACCUCCUUUUUACUACACCCCGCAAAGGAUAUAAAUACAAGGGAGUUUUUCCAAUUAAGGGACAAUCAAAACGGGAUCGUUUAUUUAUUAGAAAUCAGAGUCGUCACUUGGGAUAAUUUAUGGUGUCCUAAGUCACCGGUUUUAAAACCCGAAUCGAGGAAAAAUUGACUCUGUUUAACAGUCCGCGAACUAGAAAUUCGAGUAAGAAAUUCUGUUAACCCGGGAGAAGGUGUUAGGCAUUCCCAAAUUCCAUGGUUCUAGCACGGACACUUAACUAUCAUAUUCGGCUUAAUUUUCUAAUUUUAGAAACACGUUUUAACCUAUGAUUCCAUUUUAGCUUUAAACCACUUUUAUUCAUUUUAAGGAAGAUGUCAACGUCAUCUAAAAUACGUCUUUGGACCACGCUACAUAAAAUGCACUCGCAGUUCGAGACAUAAUUUAUUUAACGUUGUUAAGAUUUGGAUUUGGGUCACAUGAAAUGCACACCCAAGUUUAGGAAGGUAAUUUUAAAUUACGUAUCUAAAGCAAGCUACAAAGUUCAUAAUUUAAUUGUUUCUUCCUAAAACUAUUUUGAGAUUAUUGCGAAGUCAUCAAUUAUGAAAUUAUUUGGAGAAGAAGUGUACGAUUUUAGUUAUUAUUAAUAAAUUACUAAGUAUAACUCAAUAUUCUUUUUCAACAUUAAAAUUCAUUCCUACGGUAGCUAAGAGAACUUAAAGAAACGACUAAUACACUAACCUAACAAUAGUAUCUAACACGUAACCUAACCCAAUUUAUUAACAAGACUCUAUCCAAAAUAUUUUAAGUACCAUCCAUCAAACACAGCAGGCCAAUUUCCCAGCAGAAAAUGCCGAAAAUACUUGGUUCAUCAACUUAAUAGACCCGGUUACAAAUAUUAGUACUAAUAUCUCAUACAACUCAAUGUGACGGAUACAAAAAAAUAACAGGGUUAAAGCAACAUAAUUUACACCCAGGCAAUUGUAACAAACAAAAGGGUAUGACAAAUUUCACAUAACACAUUUGAACCAAAUUUAUGAUUUUACGUAAACCACUAAAGCUUAUGUUGGAAUGUUUUAACAAAAGAAGCCAUAAAAAUUGUCAACUCAGCAGCAACCAAACAAAAUCUUAUAAACAUAUAAGCUAAUAAAACUUGAAGAAAAGAAGAAGCUAAGAAUGAACUUCAAAGCAAUAAACUUACUUCAAUAUUGCUAAGGCAAAUCUUUCUAUUGAAUUUGAGCCAAAGCUACAACCAACUCGGAAAUUAGACAACUCGAGACCGGAACAUUUUUCAACGACCUCAGCGCCUCGAACGACAUCAGAACCACCUCUCUGACAGCCUCGAAGCUUGCCGAAAAACCCGAACCACGCCAAAACGACGAGGCUGAGCUCCGACUGAUUUUGAGGUUAUUUUUGGCUAUUUUUUGAGCUGGUUUUGCUUCUCUUUUUUCAGUUGGAUUUUUCUGAGCUUUGGGGCUGAGUUUCAAUGGAGUUUAGGGAGUCUUUGGGUAAUGAAAGGAUGAUGCUUCAUCAGGGUUAUUCGAGCUACAAGACACGGAAGAGCAUGAGUUUUGGGGCUGAGUUGCGGCUGUAUUUCUUUUUUUUGGAAUCGGGGAUGUCGUUCUCCUUUCCUUUUGUUUAGGAAUUCAAUGGGGCUACUAUUUUUGUUCUUUCCAAAUGAAAAGUCAGAAAUCCUUCUUCAAAUCAAGGGACAUGACUGCUGAAAAGGUCUCAGAAAUUAGGUCUAGGUUGUUUCUCUUGGAGAAGAAGACGACGUGGGGGUGGAAGGUCUCCCAAGGUCCGAUUUUUUGAGUUUC